CUCCAAGGCUAAAUACUCCUGACUGACCGAUAGUGAACCAGUACCGUGAGGGAAAGGCGAAAAGAACCCCGGCGAGGGGAGUGAAAAAGAACCUGAAACCGUGUACGUACAAGCAGUGGGAGCACGCUUAGGCGUGUGACUGCGUACCUUUUGUAUAAUGGGUCAGCGACUUAUAUUCUGUAGCAAGGUUAACCGAAUAGGGGAGCCGAAGGGAAACCGAGUCUUAACUGGGCGUUAAGUUGCAGGGUAUAGACCCGAAACCCGGUGAUCUAGCCAUGGGCAGGUUGAAGGUUGGGUAACACUAACUGGAGGACCGAACCGACUAAUGUUGAAAAAUUAGCGGAUGACUUGUGGCUGGGGGUGAAAGGCCAAUCAAACCGGGAGAUAGCUGGUUCUCCCCGAAAGCUAUUUAGGUAGCGCCUCGUGAAUUCAUCUCCGGGGGUAGAGCACUGUUUCGGCAAGGGGGUCAUCCCGACUUACCAACCCGAUGCAAACUGCGAAUACCGGAGAAUGUUAUCACGGGAGACACACGGCGGGUGCUAACGUCCGUCGUGAAGAGGGAAACAACCCAGACCGCCAGCUAAGGUCCCAAAGUCAUGGUUAAGUGGGAAACGAUGUGGGAAGGCCCAGACAGCCAGGAUGUUGGCUUAGAAGCAGCCAUCAUUUAAAGAAAGCGUAAUAGCUCACUGGUCGAGUCGGCCUGCGCGGAAGAUGUAACGGGGCUAAACCAUGCAC
Molecule: ribosomal RNA, 735 nt
Filed under: Escherichia coli
Lineage: Bacteria; Pseudomonadati; Pseudomonadota; Gammaproteobacteria; Enterobacterales; Enterobacteriaceae
Description: partial 23S ribosomal RNA
Rfam family: Bacterial large subunit ribosomal RNA
Source: RNAcentral